AGAGGUUGAUCGGCCACAUUGGGACUGAGACACGGCCCAAACUAAUACGGGAGGCAGCAGUAGGGAAUCUUCCACAAUGGACGCAAGUCUGAUGGAGCAACGCCGCGUGAGUGAAGAAGGCUUUCGGGUCGUAAAACUCUGUUGUUGGAGAAGAAUGGUCGGCAGAGUAACUGUUGUCGGCGUGACGGUAUCCAACCAGAAAGCCACGGCUAACUACGUGCCAGCAGCCGCGGUAAUACGUAGGUGGCAAGCGUUAUCCGGAUUUAUUGGGCGUAAAGCGAGCGCAGGCGGUUUUUUAAGUCUGAUGUGAAAGCCCUCGGCUUAACCGAGGAAGCGCAUCGGAAACUGGGAAACUUGAGUGCAGAAGAGGACAGUGGAACUCCAUGUGUAGCGGUGAAAUGCGUAGAUAUAUGGAAGAACACCAGUGGCGAAGGCGGCUGUCUGGUCUGUAACUGACGCUGAGGCUCGAAAGCAUGGGUAGCGAACAGGAUUAGAUACC
This 499-nucleotide ribosomal RNA is filed under the name Lacticaseibacillus rhamnosus. RNAcentral's name for it is "bacterial SSU rRNA". It matches the Rfam family "Bacterial small subunit ribosomal RNA", at positions 295 to 786 of the family's 1533-position model. Lineage: Bacteria; Bacillati; Bacillota; Bacilli; Lactobacillales; Lactobacillaceae. The record is from RNAcentral. RNAcentral also lists the same sequence under 1 other name.